UACGAAGGGGGCUAGCGUUGUUCGGAAUUACUGGGCGUAAAGCGCACGUAGGCGGAUCGAUCAGUCAGGGGUGAAAUCCCAGGGCUCAACCCUGGAACUGCCUUUGAUACUGUCGAUCUGGAGUAUGGAAGAGGUGAGUGGAAUUCCGAGUGUAGAGGUGAAAUUCGUAGAUAUUCGGAAGAACACCAGUGGCGAAGGCGACUAACUGGAUAUGUAUUGACGCUGAGGUGCGAAAGCGUGGGGAGCAAACAGG
This 253-nucleotide ribosomal RNA is filed under the name uncultured bacterium. Its description in RNAcentral is "partial 16S ribosomal RNA". It matches the Rfam family "Bacterial small subunit ribosomal RNA", at positions 524 to 776 of the family's 1533-position model. The record is from RNAcentral.